This 152-nucleotide unclassified non-coding RNA is filed under the name uncultured Xylariales. RNAcentral describes it as "sequence contains ITS1". Lineage: Eukaryota; Fungi; Ascomycota; Sordariomycetes; Xylariales. The record is from RNAcentral.
UAGAGUUGUAAAACUCCCAAACCCAUGUGAACAUACCUCUGUUGCCUCGGCGGCCUGCCCGGCGGCUACCCUGUAGCAGCCCCGCGGUCCGCCGAAGGACUACAAAACUCUUGUUAAUUUUUGUCAAUCUGAAUAAAAAACUUAAUAAGUUA